AGUGAGGUUCCAAGCCCAUGUGCCAUUACCGUACUUCUGAUCAGAUUUAUUUGGGAUCAUUCUCAACGUGACACUCAAGUAAGAGCGACAUUGGAAACACUUAGAAUAUUCAGUUUUAGGAUAGAAAGGAUUCAUGGAGUCUGUACACUUUUGAAAAAAAAAAAAAAAAAACGCUCACUGUGUUACCUAACAAAUCCAGCAUUCACUGAUUUUUAAACUUCCUUUUACCUCCUGCCCUUCCAACGUCUUUACAGAGAGAAGUUUAGACCUAACUUCUGUUUCACCACCACGUAGUCUGAGGAUCAUCUGUGGUUUCUUUUUUGUUAUCAAGAUGCAGCUCCUAAGAUUAUCAUUAUGUUAAUAAGUCCAUAAACUUUUUUCGCCUUUAAUAACUAAGGAAACAAUACUAGUGUUGAUGCAGAUAUUAUAAGGGAGUAAUUUCAUGCAAUAAACAUGUACUGUAAGUUUCCUUCCUCAUUUUGGGGCAUAACCAACUAAAAGAAGAAAAAAAAAAACACUUCCUUUUUGUGGACAUCUACAGAUGUUUAGGAUUGCCAGAAGCAAAUCCCAGGAAUAAGAUGAGUAUUUUCAUUGCAUCUUAAAUGUAAAACCUUCCUUUGGGAGUUCACUGUGUCCUGUGGUUAAGUGGAUGUGCUUAAUCAUCCUGGAAAUUCUGAUCAGUCGAAAUAAAAAAAAAUCUUGAUGCAAUAACAGUGGUUUUGCCACUCCUGGUUGUUCGAGGUGGAUCUGUCCCAGGUCGGUCGGGGUCUUACUCAGUGUGCGUUGCCACCAGCUGUUCACAGGUAGAGCAGAAAUUCUCUUUAAACCAGCAAGUUUCUGCUUUUUAUUUUUAGAACAAAUCAUCAGGGAAAUGAAGAGAGGAUGCUUUUGCUUUGGGUUGUGGUCAAGAACUGAUUAAAUAAUUUAGUGUCUCUGGCACACACUGAAAACCAUAGACUUCAGUUGUGGUCUCGGUGGCAUAUUUGUUUGCUUAGGUUUUAUUACAUUUGUUAUCGCAGAUGUUCAGUUGAGCAAAUAGUUUGAUUCCUUUCUGUGAUUUUUUUUUUUUUUUUUAUGUUUUGGGGGGAAAAUUCGAGCUUUUACCUGCAGUGUUUGAGAACUCGGCAUCCUUGUUUUCUUCAAAUACCGAUUAAAAUAAAAUGCUGUAAAACGUGUCGUGAAACAUUGUAAUUACCUUCCCAUGUCUUUGUUGUACUUGUGCCAAGUGUUUUCACAUUCCUUUGUCCGGAGGAAAAUCUUUGCUUUCAUUUUGAUUAUGUUGCUUAUCUCGGAAUCAAAUAGGUUUUGAUAUUUUUCUCUUGGAAGAUUUUAUAUCUUUUUGGGAAUAUGUAAUAUAAGAUCUCUAAUAAAAGAUAAACCUUACCACG
Molecule: long non-coding RNA, 1388 nt
Filed under: Canis lupus familiaris (dog)
Lineage: Eukaryota; Metazoa; Chordata; Mammalia; Carnivora; Canidae
Description: lncRNA (ENSCAFG00845004099.1)
Source: RNAcentral